Molecule: long non-coding RNA, 609 nt
Organism: Bombyx mori (domestic silkworm)
Lineage: Eukaryota; Metazoa; Arthropoda; Insecta; Lepidoptera; Bombycidae
Exons: 2
Source: RefSeq, a predicted model, not a curated record
UUCCCACAUAAAUGUGCUACAAUAUGCAGAUGAUCUGCUUUUUUAUUCCGUAAAUAAAUCUAUAGAUAUCGCUUGCAAUUUCAUGUCUAAUUCACUUAAUAGUUUAAAUGUGUGGUUGGUUAAAAAUGACUUAAAUUUAUCCGUAUCCAAAAGUUCAAUAGUCGUAUUUUCUAAAAAACGUACAACUCCUAUCAUAAAUGUGACCUUCAAUGGUCAAUCUUUGCCAUAUAAAACAAAAAUUAAAUUUUUAGGAGUUAUAUUAGAUUCAAAAUUGUCUGGACUUGCCCAUUAUGAACAUAUUGAUAUGAAAUGUGCACAGCUACUUAAUAUCAUGAAAUGCCUCUCAGGUGUAUGGUGGGGUGCUCAUCCGUUUUCUAUGAAACUUGUGUAUAACGCUCUUCUCCGGAUAUAAGAUAUGAUAUAGGUGUCGGUAAACAAGAUAUUCUGGAGACAAAUAUUCGUUUCAUGAGUAGCGUUGAGGAACAAAAUUGGAGUGGAUGGGAUUAUAUUUUUACAGAUGCCUCUAAAAUCUCUAUUGAUGAUUGUGUUGGAGUCGGUCUAGUUCAUUGGCAACAUAAAAUAAUACAAAAGAUUAAACUUCCUCCUGAA